RNAcentral lists this long non-coding RNA (891 nucleotides) under Citrus maxima (pomelo). RNAcentral's name for it is "long non-coding RNA (CMAX_LNC001314)". Lineage: Eukaryota; Viridiplantae; Streptophyta; Magnoliopsida; Sapindales; Rutaceae. The record is from RNAcentral.
UGCAAAAUCAUCUUCACGUCUUUUCCGCAUAGUGAUAGUUCCGUCAAGUUGGGUAAGAUCUGAUCAUCAUCAAUCAUAAUAACUAAUAAGGUCAAUUGAUGUUUUCUCAAAUGAUUUUGAGUAAUCCAAUCAUAAGCAGUGAGUUUAUAGUAUUUGUUUUAUAUUAUAUUUUAAAAAAAAUUGUAUUAUUGAUAAAAUUUAUUAAAUGAUUUUUUAUAUGUUAAUUUUAGAGGUAAAAAAGAAAUUAGGGAAAAAAGGUUGAUUUAUACUGACUCGAAAUUAUUUUAUUGCACAAUAAUAAAUUACUAAUUUAUUUUGUAAGUUCUUCUAUAUGGAAAGACUCAAGAUUCUUUUACAAAUGCUAUACCUAAAAAAGUUUAUAUAAUCAUUAAUCUACCACAUUGAUCCCUUAGUCUAGACUAGCAAAGAUUAUUGUAUAAUAAAAGUUUUCAAAUUUAUUGAGCAUUAAUUUAUCAAAGUUAAAAAUAAGCUAUAGAUAAAAAAUCUAGAAAAUGGCUUCAUACCUUUUCCAACGGCAAUAGGGGCUGUUGUGCAGGAAUACCAAGUUGAUCAUUCCCAUUAUUCUGCGAUAAAUCUGCCGCGAAUAUCUUUAAUCUGUCACAACGAUACACUAAAAGAAUUUCUAGGGCGGGCCAUUCCGAAGUAUGCAUUCCAGGGUACAAACAUCUAAGUUUUGGUAGAUCAUGGAGUAUCAAAGUGGUGAGCUGUGGAAAGACAAAAUAAGGGAUCACUUGAUCUGCUCUGUUUUCAGAAAUGAUCUCCUGUAAAUCCUCACAGGAGCGUAUUUCUAGGCGUUGGAGCUGCUUAAGGCUUCCGAUCAUAGACGCUGAAAAUAUGUAUUUUAAUUUGUGACAACCCCACACAAUCAAU